Molecule: non-coding RNA, 23 nt
Filed under: Arabidopsis thaliana (thale cress)
Lineage: Eukaryota; Viridiplantae; Streptophyta; Magnoliopsida; Brassicales; Brassicaceae
Source: RNAcentral
AAACCCGUUCCGCAAAACCCGUC